Triplophysa dalaica is the source of this 688-nucleotide long non-coding RNA. RefSeq lists it as uncharacterized. The record is from RefSeq and is a predicted model, not a curated record. NCBI's taxonomy places the organism in Eukaryota, Metazoa, Chordata, Actinopteri, Cypriniformes, Nemacheilidae. The transcript has 2 exons.
UUGGGGUCGCCAUGGAAACAGAAACGAGUACUGCUUACGCUGCUCUGACAUCUUCGUAUCAUGCAAGUUUAUUAACAUUGCAUGUCUAUUUUCAUCGUUUCUGGUGAAAACAGGCCUCUGAAUUACUGCGAGAUUUUGAAUCCGGACCAGCAGUGUUGACAGACAGAAAAUGGCCGGAUGAAGGAGAUGGAAACAGGAACCGGGAAGUGAGCACAAGACAGGUCUCAAACUCAGGUCUCACAAAGUGCUACAGAGCAACAUUACAAAAAACCAAAAAAUAUUAAAACACCAUGCUUCCAUGAAAGGAAAGUAAAGUGCAUCUCACUACAAAUGAAACUAAAAUGGUUGGUUUUUCAGAUCAGGGUUCCAGAUGCCACACUGGUAGGAUCCUCGGAGAACAGCUAGGAACCCUUCAGGUUCAUACUUUUUGUUCCUUCAAAACUUCUUAUAUUGUCAACCAUUCCUUCAGUAUGCUCAUCGUGUCUCCAAAGUGAAACGUCUAUGCACUUAAACCAUAUAUUUACUAUAAGUGUAUAAAUAAAAAUAUACAGUAUGUUAUAAAACGGAUAUCAGAGGAAGCUGACUAAUUCUGGCCAAUGUGUAAAUACUAACUUUUAUUCCACUUGUAGAACCGAAGCACCACCCAGUAGAUCCAUGUGUUUUCAGAAUAAAAUAUAUAUUCACAGUG